This 412-nucleotide ribosomal RNA is filed under the name uncultured microorganism. RNAcentral describes it as "bacterial SSU rRNA". It matches the Rfam family "Bacterial small subunit ribosomal RNA", at positions 9 to 417 of the family's 1533-position model. The record is from RNAcentral.
GAGUUUGAUCUUGGCUCAGAUUGAACGCUGGCGGCAUGCCUUACACAUGCAAGUCGAACGGCAGCAUGAUCUAGCUUGCUAGAUUGAUGGCGAGUGGCGAACGGGUGAGUAAUACAUCGGAACGUGCCCUGUAGUGGGGGAUAACUAGUCGAAAGAUUAGCUAAUACCGCAUACGACCUGAGGGUGAAAGUGGGGGACCGCAAGGCCUCAUGCUAUAGGAGCGGCCGAUGUCUGAUUAGCUAGUUGGUGGGGUAAAGGCCCACCAAGGCGACGAUCAGUAGCUGGUCUGAGAGGACGAUCAGCCACACUGGGACUGAGACACGGCCCAGACUCCUACGGGAGGCAGCAGUGGGGAAUUUUGGACAAUGGGCGAAAGCCUGAUCCAGCAAUGCCGCGUGUGUGAAGAAGGCCU